This is a long non-coding RNA of Mus musculus (house mouse), 1107 nucleotides long. RefSeq annotates it as predicted gene, 53674. NCBI's taxonomy places the organism in Eukaryota, Metazoa, Chordata, Mammalia, Rodentia, Muridae. The transcript has 3 exons. The record is from RefSeq and is a predicted model, not a curated record.
CCCGGUCUACCCUCUUCUUCUUUAAAAAAAAAAAAGUGUAAAUCACGAAGGACGAUCCCGCCCAUUCCCUGGAAUGGUUGAGGGCAGCGGGAGGCGGGAGGACUAAGAAUGUUUAUAGUGAACUGGAAAGCCAUUGCAGAAGGUGGCUGUCCGUCAAAGGCGCCGUGGCUGCUGGGCAGGGUUUCUGGCUCCUGGUGUAUGAACUGAGCAGAGUCUGAUUCCAGCGGCUGCCAGAGACACUGAGAGAUCAAUAGAUAUGCAUCAUGCUCUCAGUCUGAGCCUUCGGAUUAUCAGAGAUAAUUUCACAGUGGUGAAGUCCCACUCCAUGAUGUUGUACAUAUCAAGGCAAAAAGCAAAUUUCAGUGACUUUUCUUAUUAAAGUUCAAAAUGGAUCCUGAGACAACUGGAAAAAAAACAAAACAAUACAUUUGCCCCAAGAAAUACAAAAGAAUGUGCAGCACAGCAGUGGUUCAAGAAGCUUUGCAGAGGAGCUGAGAGCCCUCAGUGCAGACAAGAACCAACUGAGAGAUGCCGCUGAAGCUGAUCCUCUUAGGACCUUGAGAAAUUGCCAAAGAUCCAAUGUGGACUGCUCAACUGCUGCCCAACAUUUGAAGCAGAUUGGAACGAUGAAGAGGUUUGAUGAGCAGGUACCUCAUUAGCUGAACAUCAACAAAAAAAAUGUAAAUUAAUCUUUUGAACUAUUGUCCCCUUUUAAGCUAGGCAGCACCAUUUCUGAGUUGGGGGUACAACAGAAAAUAGAUUGUAUGUGACUUCCGGUGAAAUUCCAACAUGCUUCCAAAAGCCAGGCACCAGGAAAAGCUCUGCCCACCACAGAGCUCUGAAUCCUAGUGAUAUCAUUAUACCUGAGAAUUGCCCAGCAAAUUGAUGAAAUGCACUGAAUAUUGCAGUCCCUGCUUUGGUCAACAGAAGAAUCACAAUUGUCCACGACACCCAGACUGCAUGUCACACAACUAAAAAGGUUGAAUCGAUUGAGCUUCGAAGACCUCCCUCGUCUACUGUGUUUAUCUGUCCUCUCCCCAACACCACCACUUCUUCAAGCACCCAGACAACUUUUCCUGGAUAAGAAAGUCUUCCACAACUAGCAGG